GACGUAGGGUGCAAGCGUUGUCCGGAUUUAUUGGGCGUAAAGAGCUCGUAGGCGGCUCGUCGCGUCGACUGUGAAAACUCGGGGCUUAACCCUGGGCCUGCAGUCGAUACGGGCGGGCUAGAGUUCGGUAGGGGAGACUGGAAUUCCUGGUGUAGCGGUGAAAUGCGCAGAUAUCCGGAGGAACACCGGUGGCGAAGGCGGCUUCCUGGACCGACACUGACGCUGAGGCGCGAAAGCUAGGGGAGCAAACGGG
This 253-nucleotide ribosomal RNA is filed under the name uncultured bacterium. RNAcentral describes it as "partial 16S ribosomal RNA". It matches the Rfam family "Bacterial small subunit ribosomal RNA", at positions 524 to 776 of the family's 1533-position model. The record is from RNAcentral.